AUGUCAUCCAUGAUAUAUGAUGAUGAGGACAUCAAUACCAUUGAUACACCCACAGCCCCUACUGUUAUACAUACUGGACCAAUUACUAGAGCUCGCGCAUGCCAAUUGAAUUAUCAGGUACUUUCGUUUCUUGGUAACGAUUCUAAUGUUCAUGAGAAUAUGAUGCUGCCUAAAUUGGAUACAUUUGUUUUGCUUACAAAUGAAGGGCCUAGCUUGGACAAGAAAGAUGAACCUUGGAGCAAGUUCAAGCAUGGAGAUGAUGGCAUGCGCAAGGGGAACAAGAACGGAGUUACAAGUGAUGAUUCCAGGAGUUUGAAGCCACCAUAA
Molecule: ribosomal RNA, 327 nt
Filed under: Triticum aestivum (bread wheat)
Lineage: Eukaryota; Viridiplantae; Streptophyta; Magnoliopsida; Poales; Poaceae
Description: partial small subunit ribosomal RNA
Source: RNAcentral